RNAcentral lists this ribosomal RNA (326 nucleotides) under uncultured eukaryote. Its description in RNAcentral is "partial 18S ribosomal RNA". It matches the Rfam family "Eukaryotic small subunit ribosomal RNA", at positions 1470 to 1796 of the family's 1831-position model. The record is from RNAcentral.
CCCUUAGAUGUUCUGGGCCGCACGCGCGCUACACUGAUGCAUUCAACGAGCCUAGCCUUGACCGAGAGGUCCGGGUAAUCUUUGAAACUGCAUCGUGAUGGGGCUAGAUUAUUGCAAUUAUUAAUCUUCAACGAGGAAUGCCUAAUAAGCGUGAUUCAUCAAAUCGCGUUGAUUACGUCCCUGCCCUUUGUACACACCGCCCGUCGCUCCUACCGAUUGAGUGUGUUGGUGAGGAGUUUGGAUUGGCCUCGGAAGGUGGUUCGCCACCGUCCGUAGCUGAGAAGUUCUCCAAACCGCCCCACUUAGAGGAAGGAGAAGUCGUAACA